CAGAUCGAGGUUUGUUUGAUUUCAUAGGAAAAAAGGAAGAGGAAAAGCCAACUCAUGCCCAAGAAGAACAGGCUAUUUCCUCUGAGUUUGAUGAAAAAGUAAAAGUAUCUGAAGAAGUUGCAGAAUACAAGGAGGAAGAGAAGAAAGAAGAGAAGAAACUUCAUCGAUCAAGUAGCAGCUCUAGCAGCUCCGUAAGUAUUUUCGAUCAUGGGUAAAAUUUAUCGGUACUCAUUUAUUUACAUCAAAUCAAUAAAUAUAAAAUAAUUAUGUUUCAUAGAUGCAUGUUUUACUUAAUUGUACCUAUUCUUACUUUAUUUUAUGGUAAUUAUUAACAGAGUCACAUCCAGGAUUGAAAGUUUAUGAGUUCCUAUUAUAAUUUUAAAUUAAUAUACAAUAAUAACUGAAUUCACGCUUAUAUAUUUAUUGAUAUUUAAUGAAUUUUUUAAUAAAAAUACUGAAUCUAUGCAAAAAUUACUGGCUUCUCGGAUCCAGAAGCUAUACUCUACAUCCGCCUAGCCUUUGGACAUAGAUUGAGUUGAAACUUGAAAAAAUAUUUUUGAAGUAGUUUUGGAAAAUAAUUUUUGGAAGUUGAAAUUAGUUUGGACAUACAUUUUAUUUGAAAAACAUUUGAAGUUUUGUGAGUAGGAACUGAUUUUCAUCCAAAAUCUACCAUAAACUAGAUUUUGGAAACUUAAAAAAUAUUUUCAGAAAUUUUUCAAAAACAGAUCACUAAUUUGUGGACAAACAAUGUUUUAAAAAAAAAAUGAAAAAAACUUGCCAAAAUGUAUGGCCAAACGAGGGCUUAAAUUUUUUUACACGAUCAGGUCAUAUUUACCUUAUUGUAUCAAGUAACAUGUCUCGUUUUCAAAAUUUACUUCUAGAUAUUCUUCGAAUGACUUGACAGUAUGAAAAACUAAUUACAUCGAUGGUGUAUAUAUAUAUAUAUUUUGAUCAUGUUUACAUGAAUAGCCUCAUCAUAUAGAAAAGCAUCAGCGGCUGUUUUCACGACUCGAACUUUGUAACCUUGCUGUUUGUGUACAACAAAAACUCUUUUUAUAGUUGGAUGAAGCUUAUGUUAAUUGUGAUGAUCUUGCAGAGUGAUGAAGAGGAAGAAAUAGGAGAGGACGGACAGAAAAUCAAGAAGAAGAAAAAGAAGGGUUUGAAGGAUAAGAUCAAGGAGAAAAUAUCUGGAGAACACAAGGAAGAUGAGAAGGCAGAGGACACAGCUGUUCCAGUGGAGAAAUACGAAGAAGCAGAGGAGAAAAAAGGAUUCCUAGACAAGAUUAAGGAGAAGUUGCCAGUUGGCGGCCAAAAGAAGACGGAGGAAGUGGCGCCUCCACCACCGGCUGCGGCGGAACACGAGGCUGAGGGAAAAGAGAAGAAGGGAUUUUUGGACAAGAUUAAGGAGAAAUUACCACGAUACCACUCAAAGACUGAAGAAGAAAAGGAAAAAGAGAAAGAAACUGCAUCUCACUAGAUUAUUACAGCAUGAAAAUGAAUGUUUUUAUUUGUCGCUUUUUUGUUUUUUUGUUUUUGUGUAUGUCAUGAUUGUGUUACUGCUGUUUGGUUAAGCUUUCAUUUCCUUCACUUUUUUGGGGUUUGAAGGAUAAUAGUAUUGUAUUCAUAUAUGUAAGUGCAUAUAGCAUGUGCUUAUGUAUAAAGUUUGAUGUGGAUCUUUCGUUUGUAAAAUGCAGUUGGUUUUGCUUUUCACCUUAUCUUUUGUGUUUUCCUUAAUUACCUAUGUUAAAGCAUUAGGAUAAUUAAACAAGAUAAGCCAGCAAGGUGGCCUUGUGUUUUAUUAUCAGGAGAAAGUGUACCAAUAAUAAUAGGAAUUAUGGUACCACAAUGUUUGUCAACUUCGUAAAAUUUCACGAAUGGGAUAUGGGUGUGUACGCAAAUUUUACCUCAACCCG
Molecule: long non-coding RNA, 1913 nt
Filed under: Nicotiana tabacum (common tobacco)
Lineage: Eukaryota; Viridiplantae; Streptophyta; Magnoliopsida; Solanales; Solanaceae
Description: long non-coding RNA (NTAB_LNC001803)
Source: RNAcentral